UGAGGAACAUGACCUUCGGCGGGGGAUAGCCGGCCCAACGGCCGGGUAAUACCGCGUACGACCUUUUGGGGACAUCCCCGAUUGGUGAAAGCAGCAAUGCGCCGAAAGAGUGCCUCGCGGCCUAUCAGCUAGUUGGUGGGGUAAUGGCUCACCAAGGCGACGACGGGUAGCUGGUCUGAGAGGAUGGCCAGCCACAUUGGGACUGAGACACGGCCCAGACUCCUACGGGAGCAGCAGG
Molecule: ribosomal RNA, 238 nt
Filed under: uncultured bacterium
Lineage: Bacteria
Description: partial 16S ribosomal RNA
Rfam family: Bacterial small subunit ribosomal RNA
Source: RNAcentral